This 252-nucleotide ribosomal RNA is filed under the name uncultured bacterium. Its description in RNAcentral is "partial 16S ribosomal RNA". It matches the Rfam family "Bacterial small subunit ribosomal RNA", at positions 524 to 776 of the family's 1533-position model. The record is from RNAcentral.
UACAGAGGGGGCAAGCGUUGUUCGGAAUUACUGGGCGUAAAGGGCGCGUAGGCGGCCUGUUAAGUCGGACGUGAAAUCCCUCGGCUCAACCGGGGAACUGCGUCCGAUACUGGCGGGCUUGAAUUCGGGAGAGGGAUGUGGAAUUCCAGGUGUAGCGGUGAAAUGCGUAGAUAUCUGGAGGAACACCGGUGGCGAAGGCGGCGACCUGGGUCGAUACUGACGCUGAGGCGCGAAAGCGUGGGAUCAAACAGG